This 64-nucleotide transfer RNA is filed under the name Neotoma lepida (desert woodrat). It matches the Rfam family "tRNA". Rfam says of the family: Transfer RNA (tRNA) molecules are approximately 80 nucleotides in length. Their secondary structure includes four short double-helical elements and three loops (D, anti-codon, and T loops). The record is from Rfam by way of RNAcentral. Lineage: Eukaryota; Metazoa; Chordata; Mammalia; Rodentia; Cricetidae.
GGGGAUGUAACUCAGUUGGCAGAGGGCUUGCUUUGCAUGCAUGAAGCCCUAGGUUCCAUCCCCA